This 253-nucleotide ribosomal RNA is filed under the name uncultured bacterium. Its description in RNAcentral is "partial 16S ribosomal RNA". It matches the Rfam family "Bacterial small subunit ribosomal RNA", at positions 524 to 776 of the family's 1533-position model. The record is from RNAcentral.
UACGAAGGGUGCAAGCGUUACUCGGAAUUACUGGGCGUAAAGCGUGCGUAGGUGGUUUGUUAAGUCUGUUGUGAAAGCCCCGGGCUCAACCUGGGAAUGGCAAUGGAUACUGGCAAGCUAGAGUGCGGUAGAGGGUAGUGGAAUUCCCGGUGUAGCGGUGAAAUGCGUAGAGAUCGGGAGGAACACCAGUGGCGAAGGCGGCUACCUGGACCAGCACUGACGCUGAGGCACGAAAGCGUGGGUAGCAAACAGG